Non-coding RNA from Gossypium raimondii (Peruvian cotton), 146 nucleotides. The record is from Rfam. NCBI's taxonomy places the organism in Eukaryota, Viridiplantae, Streptophyta, Magnoliopsida, Malvales, Malvaceae.
UGUUUAAAAAUUUCAUCCAUUUUUACUGUUAAAAACUGGAGUAGCUGUCGGAAUAACCAAACAAUUACACAUGGUGUACCACAUGUACCUCAUGUCAAUGUACAAGGAUCAGUUUUUAAUAGUGGAAAUGGAUGAAAUUUUUAACA